This 251-nucleotide ribosomal RNA is filed under the name uncultured bacterium. RNAcentral's name for it is "partial 16S ribosomal RNA". It matches the Rfam family "Bacterial small subunit ribosomal RNA", at positions 57 to 339 of the family's 1533-position model. The record is from RNAcentral.
GCAAGUCGAACGAACCUUCGGGUUAGUGGCGGACGGGUGAGUAACGCGUGAGAAUCUGCCCUCAGGAGGGGGAUAACGGCUGGAAACGGCCGCUAAUACCCCAUAUACCGAGAGGUGAAAUGAAUUUCGCCUGAGGAUGAGCUCGCGUCUGAUUAGCUAGUUGGUGUGGUAAUGGCUCACCAAGGCUUCGAUCAGUAGCUGGUCUGAGAGGAUGAUCAGCCACACUGGGACUGAGACACGGCCCAGACUCC